RNAcentral lists this ribosomal RNA (268 nucleotides) under uncultured Bifidobacteriales bacterium. RNAcentral's name for it is "partial 16S ribosomal RNA". It matches the Rfam family "Bacterial small subunit ribosomal RNA", at positions 505 to 771 of the family's 1533-position model. Lineage: Bacteria; Bacillati; Actinomycetota; Actinomycetes; Bifidobacteriales. The record is from RNAcentral.
GUGCCAGCAGCCGCGGUAAUACGUAGGGCGCAAGCGUUAUCCGGAUUUAUUGGGCGUAAAGGGCUCGUAGGCGGCUCGUCGCGUCNCGGUGUGAAAGUCCAUCGCUUAACGGUGGAUCUGCGCCGGGUACGGGCGGGCUGGAGUGCGGUAGGGGAGACUGGAAUUCCCGGUGUAACGGUGGAAUGUGUAGAUAUCGGGAAGAACACCGAUGGCGAAGGCAGGUCUCUGGGCCGUCACUGACGCUGAGGAGCGAAAGCGUGGGGAGCGA